AGAUUGAACGCUGGCGGCAUGCCUAACACAUGCAAGUCGAACGGGAGUAGCAAUACUCUAGUGGCGGACGGGUGAGGAAUACGUAGGAAUUUGCCCUUAAGUGGGGGAUAACCCGGGGAAACCCGGAUUAAUACCGCAUGACCUCGAAAGAGCAAAGUGGGGGAUCGCAAGACCUCACGCUUUUGGAGAAGCCUACGUCGGAUUAGCUAGUUGGUGAGGUAAUGGCUCACCAAGGCGACGAUCCGUAACUGGUCUGAGAGGAUGAUCAGUCACACCGGAACUGAGACACGGUCCGGACUCCUACGGGAGGCAGCAGUGGGGAAUAUUUGGACAAUGGGCGCAAGCCUGAUCCAGCAAUGCCGCGUGUGUGAAGAGG
Molecule: ribosomal RNA, 376 nt
Filed under: uncultured soil bacterium
Lineage: Bacteria
Description: bacterial SSU rRNA
Rfam family: Bacterial small subunit ribosomal RNA
Source: RNAcentral